This 495-nucleotide ribosomal RNA is filed under the name uncultured bacterium. Its description in RNAcentral is "partial 16S ribosomal RNA". It matches the Rfam family "Bacterial small subunit ribosomal RNA", at positions 28 to 507 of the family's 1533-position model. The record is from RNAcentral.
GACGAACGCUGGCGGCGUGCCUAAUACAUGCAAGUAGAACGCUGAAGGAGGAGCUUGCUUCUCUGGAUGAGUUGCGAACGGGUGAGUAACGCGUAGGUAACCUGCCUGGUAGCGGGGGAUAACUAUUGGAAACGAUAGCUAAUACCGCAUAAGAGUAGAUGUUGCAUGACAUUUACUUAAAAGGUGCAAUUGCAUCACUACCAGAUGGACCUGCGUUGUAUUAGCUAGUUGGUGAGGUAACGGCUCACCAAGGCAACGAUACAUAGCCGACCUGAGAGGGGGAUCGGCCACCCUGGGACUGAGACACGGCCCAGACUCCUACGGGAGGCAGCCGUAGGGAAUCUUCGGCAAUGGACGGAAGUCUGACCGAGCAACGCCGCGUGAGUGAAGAAGGGUUUCGGAUCGUAAAGCUCUGUUGUAAGAGAAGAACGAGUGUGAGAGUGGAAAGUUCACACUGUGACGGUAUCUUACCAGAAAGGGACGGCUAACUACGUG